RNAcentral lists this ribosomal RNA (496 nucleotides) under uncultured bacterium. Its description in RNAcentral is "partial 16S ribosomal RNA". It matches the Rfam family "Bacterial small subunit ribosomal RNA", at positions 28 to 506 of the family's 1533-position model. The record is from RNAcentral.
GAUGAACGCUGGCGGCGUGCCUAAUACAUGCAAGUCGAGCGAACAGAUGAGGAGCUUGCUCCUCUGACGUUAGCGGCGGACGGGUGAGUAACACGUGGAUAACCUACCUAUAAGACUGGGAUAACUUCGGGAAACCGGAGCUAAUACCGGAUAAUAUAUUGAACCGCAUGGUUCAAUAGUGAAAGACGGUUUUGCUGUCACUUAUAGAUGGAUCCGCGCCGCAUUAGCUAGUUGGUAAGGUAACGGCUUACCAAGGCAACGAUGCGUAGCCGACCUGAGAGGGUGAUCGGCCACACUGGACCUGAGACACGGUCCAGACUCCUACGGGAGGCAGCAGUAGGGAAUCUUCCGCAAUGGGCGAAAGCCUGACGGAGCAACGCCGCGUGAGUGAUGAAGGUCUUCGGUUCGUAAAACUCUGUUAUUAGGGAAGAACAAAUGUGUAAGUAACUAUGCACGUCUUGACGGUACCUAAGCAGAAAGCCACGGCUAACUACGU